Molecule: ribosomal RNA, 585 nt
Filed under: uncultured bacterium
Lineage: Bacteria
Description: partial 16S ribosomal RNA
Rfam family: Bacterial small subunit ribosomal RNA
Source: RNAcentral
UGGGGAAUUUGGACAAUGGGCGAAAGCCUGAUCCAGCAAUGCCGCGUGUGUGAAGAAGGCCUUCGGGUUGUAAAGCACUUUUGUCCGGAAAGAAAUCCUUGGCUCUAAUACAGUCGGGGGAUGACGGUACCGGAAGAAUAAGCACCGGCUAACUACGUGCCAGCAGCCGCGGUAAUACGUAGGGUGCAAGCGUUAAUCGGAAUUACUGGGCGUAAAGCGUGCGCAGGCGGUUUGCUAAGACCGAUGUGAAAUCCUCGGGCUCAACCUGGGAACUGCAUUGGUGACUGGCAGGCUAGAGUAUGGCAGAGGGGAGUAGAAUUCCACGUGUAGCAGUGAAAUGCGUAGAGAUGUGGAGGAAUACCGAUGGCGAAGGCAGCCCCCUGGGCCAAUACUGACGCUCAUGCACGAAAGCGUGGGGAGCAAACAGGAUUAGAUACCCUGGUAGUCCACGCCCUAAAACGAUGUCAACUAGUUGUUGGGGAUUCAUUUCCUUAGUAACGUAGCUAACACGUGAAGUUGACCGCCUGGGGAGUACGGUCGCAAGAUUAAAACUCAAAUGAAUUGACGGGGUCAUAGCUGUUUCCU